GUGAGGAAUAUUGGACAAUGGAUGGAAAUCUGAUCCAGCCAUGCCGCGUGCAGGAAGACGGCCCUAUGGGUUGUAAACUGCUUUUAUACGGGAGCAAUAAGGUCUAUGCAUAGAUUGAUGAGAGUACCGUAUGAAUAAGCAUCGGCUAACUCCGUGCCAGCAGCCGCGGUAAUACGGAGGAUGCGAGCGUUAUCCGGAUUUAUUGGGUUUAAAGGGUGCGUAGGCGGCUUUGUAAGUCAGCGGUGAAAUUUUGCAGCUUAACUGUAAAAGCGCCGUUGAUACUGUGAAGCUAGGAUUUGGUUGCUGUAGGCGGAAUGUGUGGUGUAGCGGUGAAAUGCAUAGAGAUCACACAGAAUAUCGAUUGCGAAGGCAGCUCACAAAGCCAAUAUUGACGCUGAGGCACGAAAGUGUGGGGAUCAAACAGGAUUAGAUACCCGAGUAGUCC
Molecule: ribosomal RNA, 445 nt
Filed under: uncultured bacterium
Lineage: Bacteria
Description: partial 16S ribosomal RNA
Rfam family: Bacterial small subunit ribosomal RNA
Source: RNAcentral